UUCAAAGCAAACAUGAAAAUUUCCUUGGAAAAAUCAAAAUUCUUUAGAAAAGAAAUAGAAUUUUUAGGAUACAUAGUAUCAUACAAUAUCAUUAAAACUGAUCCGAAAAAAAUAGAAUCAAUCAUGAAAUACCCUCCUCCUAAUAAUUUAAGGGAAUUACGAGGUUUUCUUGGCUUAACAGGCUACUACAGGAAGGACAUAACGGUAUGGUUUCAAAACAUAUGUC
This is a non-coding RNA of Drosophila virilis, 226 nucleotides long. NCBI's taxonomy places the organism in Eukaryota, Metazoa, Arthropoda, Insecta, Diptera, Drosophilidae. The record is from RefSeq and is a predicted model, not a curated record.